UAAAUUACGAAGCCUUGGUGCUUGCCUCAGAUGAGCAGGUAGCCGGAUCCAUGGGCGCUAGAGUCAGUGCCGACGGCGCGUCAAGCCUUCUCCUCCUACACAUGCGAUUGAAAUAUUGGCGGACACAGUAGAGGUGCUGCCAUCAUCACGAGAGAAACCUACAAUAUAGACUUGUGUUGUUUGAUUGGGCGAGCGCUUUUUCUUGUGUGCUCUUUCGGGUCACUGGAUGGAAACAUCAAACAUGUAUAAAUGAGUGUGUAGUACUACAAAAAAGGCAUAGGUUGCCUACAAGGGGGCUAUUAUGAAUAAUGGAUAUGGUAAUACUAACAAAGAAAGUACAGAGCAUGCAUGACCCACGCAGAAAGUACCUAGAUAGAUCUUUAAUUACCAGCAAACCAUAGUAGUAGACCAACACUAAGUAGAAUUUCUUCACACUGGAUACUAGUACUGAAUAAUACAAAUACUCCUACUUACAUUUUGGCACUGAAUAAUACAAAUGCUCCUAAUUACCGGCAAACCAUAGUAGUAGCAGCAAGUCAAAUAUAACUCAGUAGGUUGCACUGAAAUGGUGUGGCACAAAGCAAGCAAGCAAGUCAAUAGGUAAGUAAGGCAGCAAUGUUUUUAUUUAUCUAACAUUUCACAUCAACUGCAUGAUAACUGCACAUGUAUACUUUGGGCAAAUAUACUUACUUAGAGAUACAUUUUUUACUGGUAUAUGACACAUGAUGUAUCCAUAUCGGAGUAACAAUUUUUUUUUGUGUAACCGAUGACGUCAACAAGACGAGUAGAGCUGUUAUGCAAGGAACAUCGAAUUUAACCAUGAUAAAAUAUUUGUCAGCUCACUCAAACUAUUACCAUAUCAUAGUAAUGGAGCCAUUUAUGCAUGUACAUCUGCAAUUAGGAAAGCGAACCUAUGGCAGUAGACCUAACUCAUCGGUUAUAAUACAACCAUGUGUUGACUAUAACUUUGGCAAAUCAUCUCAAAGUCGCAAGAAGGUGCAAGAAUUGUGUAAUGCUUAUGCUGCAAUGUGUGUGUGACAGUGUGAGUGUGUGAAGCAUGUCAAAAUCUGAAAGCUGGGCCAUGAAGAAUAGGCCGACCUAAACAAAAUGGAGUACCAGUAGGAGCAGCCCACUCUCACUACCGCUGUGGCCGCACCUGUCGGAGUGUUCGCUGGUUGAACCGAGA
This 1186-nucleotide long non-coding RNA is filed under the name Hordeum vulgare. Its description in RNAcentral is "long non-coding RNA (HVUL_LNC010778)". The record is from RNAcentral. Lineage: Eukaryota; Viridiplantae; Streptophyta; Magnoliopsida; Poales; Poaceae.